GACGAACGCGGCGGCGUGCCUAAUACAUGCAAGUAGAACGCUGAAGGAGGAGCUGCUUCUCUGGAUGAGUUGCGAACGGGUGAGUAACGCGUAGGUAACCUGCCUGGUAGCGGGGGAUAACUAUUGGAAACGAUAGCUAAUACCGCAUAAGAGUAGAUGUUGCAUGACAUUUGCUUAAAAGGUGCAAUUGCAUCACUACCAGAUGGACCUGCGUUGUAUUAGCUAGUUGGUGGGGUAACGGCUCACCAAGGCGACGAUACAUAGCCGACCUGAGAGGGUGAUCGGCCACACUGGGACUGAGACACGGCCCAGACUCCUACGGGAGGCAGCAGUAGGGAAUCUUCGGCAAUGGGCGGAAGUCUGACCGAGCAACGCCGCGUGAGUGAAGAAGGUUUUCGGAUCGUAAAGCUCUGUUGUAAGAGAAGAACGAGUGUGAGAGUGGAAAGUUCACACUGUGACGGUAUCUUACCAGAAAGGGACGGCUAACUACGUGCCAGCAGCCGCGGUAAUACGUAGGUGGCAAGCGUUAUCCGGAUUUAUUGGGCGUAAAGAGAGUGCAGGCGGUUUUCUAAGUCUGAUGUGAAAGCCUUCGGCUUAACCGGAGAAGUGCAUCGGAAACUGGAUAACUUGAGUGCAGAAGAGGGUAGUGGAACUCCAUGUGUAGCGGUGGAAUGCGUAGAUAUAUGGAAGAACACCAGUGGCGAAGGCGGCUACCUGGUCUGCAACUGACGCUGAGACUCGAAAGCAUGGGUAGCGAACAGG
RNAcentral lists this ribosomal RNA (762 nucleotides) under uncultured Streptococcus sp. RNAcentral describes it as "bacterial SSU rRNA". It matches the Rfam family "Bacterial small subunit ribosomal RNA", at positions 28 to 776 of the family's 1533-position model. The record is from RNAcentral. Lineage: Bacteria; Bacillati; Bacillota; Bacilli; Lactobacillales; Streptococcaceae.